GUGCAGCAACUUGCUGCACGUACACUAAAAUUGGAACGAUACAGAGAAGAUUAGCAUGGCCCCUGGCGCAAGGAUUACACGCACAAUCGUGAAGCGUUCUCAAUUUUC
This 108-nucleotide small nuclear RNA is filed under the name Gouania willdenowi (blunt-snouted clingfish). Lineage: Eukaryota; Metazoa; Chordata; Actinopteri; Blenniiformes; Gobiesocidae. The record is from RNAcentral.